Molecule: long non-coding RNA, 3309 nt
Organism: Sarcophilus harrisii (Tasmanian devil)
Lineage: Eukaryota; Metazoa; Chordata; Mammalia; Dasyuromorphia; Dasyuridae
Exons: 5
Source: RefSeq, a predicted model, not a curated record
UUGCUAGACUGUGCUGUUUCCCUUCUGUCUUUUCUUCCAUCUGCUUUUCAAUCAGGACAGUACUCUGUCCUCAGAUAUUGUCUUUUGCCUCUGGAGCGCGUGCUUGUUGUGUAAAACUUCUAUAUUUGAGGCAGGUGCUGCCCCGCCGAUGCAAGGGGGAGGAAAGAAUGAGAGGGGACUCCAGUGGUGGUGGUGGUGAUGAUGGGGACGCCUUCUUGACGGGGUUUGUAUAUGCAGAUUUGGCAGUGCGUAUAUAUUGUGUAAAAGUGUGCGUGCACAUGCCUAGGAGCAGGCUCCCGGUGGGGUCUUCUCUGGAAUGCUUACUCCCACAAAUGCAGAAAUGGUAACCAACUGACUAGGAGCAUUUGCAGAAUCUGUUGCAUUUCCCAAAGAUGAUUUUUUCCCCUCACCUUCCAAGGCAGAGUCAGUGUGUGUGCUCUGUAAAAUUUGUCCAGAUUAGUCUUUGCCAUGAGGAGAGGGGGCAGCCUUACUUCAACCGCUUGACACUUCGGAAUUUUGCAGAUACAUUUAGCCAUCUGGGAAACAACAGGUGUGUAUUUCUGCUUUCCCUCUCCAGUUCCUCCUCUCUUUCUCUGUCCGGUACCUAAUCCCAUCCCUUGUUCAUUUACUUUCCUCUCCCCUGCUCCCAUUCGCCUCUCAGUUCCCUUCAACACUCAGGCUACUAGGUACAUUGAUGCCUAGGCAACACCUGACUGCCUGGCACUGGAAUUGGAACAAUUUUCCGUUCAUAAUUAGCCAGUGGGAUGGCACUGGGCCUUGAAACUUGGCCUUCUGCUGGUUCUCUGAUCAUAAUUCAGGGAAGUGAGAAUCUUUAUUUUUUGACUAGUCUUUGGAUGUUUAUCCUUGCAUUCCUCCUCAGGUGGAAUUGUCAGAUUUGACACAAAGACUAGGCAGAAUAACUUUUGAGAUCAAAUGGGAGUCAACUUGUAUCUUGUAGUGGGCAACUUGAACUUUUUUCUUGGGUUUAGCACAAGGGUGCUUAGAGACAGAAAAUUCCUGUUUAGGAAAUUUUUCAUGCUUCCUUUGUGGAAAUCAUUCUGCCUUUGUUUGACCACAGUCUGAUCAAAUCCUGGGUGGGUGUUGGGAUAAAAUAGAGAUUUCUCAGUGUCCUUUCAUAUUGCCUUGUAAGUAGAAACAGUGGUGACCUGUCGUGUUGGGAUUAUAGGUUGAGAAAGAAAUUCCAGAGCCUGGAUCCAUCUCCUCAGUCUGAUAGGGUUCCUGGUGUUUGCAGACCUUCCUUACCGAAGAGAUUCCUGCUACUCUUUGACUGCUGGGGCCCCGAGUUGUUGCUCUGGCUCCAAGGCCACAUUCUUUCUGUGCUCUGAAUCCGAUGAGGUUUACAGCGAGCUGGACUUCUGGAGAAAGUUUGUGGGCGUAGACCGCAGCCCAAGCUCCACAUCUUCCCACUCUCCGGAAAGGUGCUGGACAGGAAUUCCCCUAUCCCUUUUUGCUUUUUCCCCAGCCCUAUGGGAGAUCCAAGGGGCUUCAAGCUGCUGCACUUGAGCACUUUAGCUCGGAAAAUAUGCACCUGUUGGCCCUGGAAGACCAAGAUUGAGAACCUUUUUUUAGCAUAUCAGAUCCGAGCCAAGGUAUGAGCUGCUGCUGUCUGAAACUCCACAGACCAAAAUCUGCUUUAGAGCCAUGGAUCCAGCUGCGAAACUACUGUUCAGCCUGCACCCCUUGCAUUCGGGCUCCAGAUCACUUUAUCUUCGUAUUGGAAAAAUUACUGCUGGAAUUAGCAUGUAAGCAGAUGUGCUUUUUACCAGAAAUAUACAUUCAGGGAUAAAUGGAAGAAUUUUGUCAUGGACAAAACCAGUGCCAGGUUUUCCCCACAUGAAACAUUUGGACAACAGAUUAAAGCUGACUUGGUAAUAUAACAGGAGUGACUAUGAUAGUGAUGAGGAUUCCACUUACUAUGAUCUGAAGAAAUCAUUGACUGAGAAUUCAGAUACAUUGUAGGCCACUUUGGUAACCUGGAUGCUUCAGUAGACUACAAUGGAAUGGAAUAAUAUGCUACAGGCAGCAGCCAAAGAUUGAUUGUCCUGAUGUGCACUCGAGAGAUCUUGGUGAGAGAGAAGUCUUCUGCUGAUGUGUGAAUUUAUGAGGUUAGACUCUUCACAACCCUUUGAAAGAAAAGGUGAUAAUUGGUGGGAUAUGAAGGCAACUUUCAUCUCAGCUGUUUGGAAGAUGGAGGAAGGACACAAAUAAAUCCUGGGUCAUUGGAUCAGAAGAGAAGACAAAGAAAAGGGGGUGGAUGUGGGGAUACUAUAGUAAAGUUUUUGUACUUGGACAGCUUUGGACUCUCAACAGUGAAUUGACUCUGGGGACUCUUCUUGUAACCCUACACAGUCACAGCCUUUUUCUGGAACGUGUUCAGAUCUACUUAACAGGUCAAACUAAAUGUGGACUUGAAAAAAAUUAGUAUUUGAACAGAUUGAGAAUCAUGGUACAUUAGUCUGAUGACUUAGAGACAAUCCUGGAGUGUCAGACUUUUAAAAUGUAUGUUUACAUUCCUCCUACAAAGAGAAACAUACCCUCGUCAUCCCUUUGGAAUCAUCUUUGUUAUAGUGAGAACCCUGAUAGAUCUAAGGUUCCCAAUCAUGCUUCAGAAGAUGUGUUUUCUGAUACAUCAUGGGUAUUGACACUUGCAGUAGCUGCCAGCCACCAACUAAUGGCUUCCUGCUUCGACUUCUUAGCAUUGUUUGCUAAUAUUCACUUUUUGGAAGCAUCCAGCAGCUGGGAACCAUUUCAAAGAGUGUGUCUUUUGCCAGACAAAGAGGAUCAGAAUCCUACUUCUCUUUGCCAGAUGGCUUUUAAUGGCUAACUGCAAAAAUUCUUCUUACUUAGAGGGGAAUUCAAAAAAAUAUUAAAUCAGAGAAGCUUUCUUCAAUUCUGCAAGCAUUAAUUAAACAACUACGCUACGCAAGAGACUUAAAAUACAAAGACAAAGUUAAAUAGUUUCUGCCCUUGAGUAACUUACAUUCUACCUUUACAUUAAAGAAUAUUUCAUAGCCCGUGAAUUUUGGAACAUUGGGAUCUUAUGUAUAGAUGGCCACUUCUGAAGAAAAAUAACUGCAAUUCAAAAAAAUCUGGUGUUUUUUAUUCAGUGAUAUGAAUUUUGCUCCAAUGCUUCAGUAGUAUGAUUGUUGUGGUUCUUGGGGACCACCAGCUCCAAUCUUAUAAAUGUAAUUUUGAGACUGCAAAAAUUCUCUAUAGUGAUAGAAAAAAAGUUUAUUUUUCCAAAGUAGGAUUUAAAAAAAAAAGAAUUCCCUAUGUCUGUGAACAUAA